Long non-coding RNA from Epinephelus lanceolatus (giant grouper), 1189 nucleotides. RefSeq lists it as uncharacterized. NCBI's taxonomy places the organism in Eukaryota, Metazoa, Chordata, Actinopteri, Perciformes, Serranidae. The record is from RefSeq and is a predicted model, not a curated record.
UUCUCUCUCAGUUCUACUGGUCAUUUCUUCUUCACUGGAUUACCUGCUGCAGACCUGUCACCUUAACUGCCCCCUCAUCAGAGCACAACAGAGUGUUGACAUGUCACUAGUGGAAAACACCGACCAAUGCAACCAACUGUCACUGGGGAAAAGGCAAAGACUGGUUUUACAGUGCAGACACUGCAGAGCCAGUAAGACUGCUUAGGUUUCAAAGUACAUCCUACUUUCUAUGUAUAUACAUACUCAGGUGUGACCUUUAAAACCCCUUUAGAGCAACACCUCUCUUUCCUUCCUAUCACCUGCAGCUUCUUCCACCCCUCCUUCUUAUUCUCUCGCCUUCCCUGCCCAAUCGUUUCAUCUCUGCAGUCUCAUACACAGACACUGUUAAAGCAGCACCAGUUAGAUUCCAACAAGCGUAGUGUGUGGGUGGAGCAGUUUACUUUCACCUGUGCUGUCCUGUUUUUAGGGGAAUCACUCCCUGAUGCUUUGAUGAGAAAGAAGCACUCUUUAUGAUUCUGAAGACACUAAACCUUCCAUGAUGUCCUGCCUGUGGCUGUGUUUGAGUCUGCUCUGUGCUGCUACUUUUCUACAAAGCAGUGCUUGGUCACAUGAAGUUGUGUCAGUGAUGUGCAACAAGACAAUGAACGUUGUAGCUGCACAAACAGUGACACUGAACUGCACUAUAGACACCAAGAACUGCACAGGCGUACGCUAUCACUGGAAUAACGCACAAGGUGACAUACAAUGUAGCAAUAGCUCGAAAUACAGAUGUGAAUGGGAUUGUCUGACUUAUGUGUCGUUGACCAUCUCAAAUGUCACGGAAGAGGAAAACUACACCAUUCGUAUACAGACAGACUGUGGUGUGACUAAACCAUCCACUACGGAAGUGCAAGUCAUCAAGUCCUCCAGCAUAACCAGUGAAGGUGGGAAGCAAGAUGAAACAGAAACCAUGCCAAUACUCCUUCCUAUAUUGGGUAUUGUCAUUGCCCUCGCCGUCAUCGCUUUGGGUGUUCUGUAUUUGACAAGGAAAAGACUCCAGAAGACGACACUGACAAAGGACACUGGGCAGAGGAGUGGAGAAUUGCUGAUUGUAUGACAAAUCAGAAUAAGUGCUUCAACAUAUGUGUGUAUGUGUGUGGUGGUGGGGGUGGAGAGGAGGGUUACAUUUUUUUUUCUUCCAGAAUUCUUU